Molecule: long non-coding RNA, 239 nt
Filed under: Elaeis guineensis (African oil palm)
Lineage: Eukaryota; Viridiplantae; Streptophyta; Magnoliopsida; Arecales; Arecaceae
Description: long non-coding RNA (EGUI_LNC028479)
Source: RNAcentral
AAGUAUGGCUCAUAGAUGUCUUGUGCUAGCAUUCAAGCUAGUCGACGCAACUCAUUCAUGUGGAGGGAGAUUUGUGCUCAUGCUCCGAAAGUGAUGGCUGAUGUUCGAUGGUUGAUUGGGGAUGGGUAGAUUGCUGAUUUCUAUGAGACUUAUGGAUUGCUGACCUCCCAUUAUAUCGCUAGCCGACCUUCAUCAGUAUGGAGGCUGGAGUUUCUAUGGAUCUGUGACCUAUUCCACAU